Triticum dicoccoides is the source of this 934-nucleotide long non-coding RNA. RefSeq lists it as uncharacterized. The transcript has 7 exons. The record is from RefSeq and is a predicted model, not a curated record. Lineage: Eukaryota; Viridiplantae; Streptophyta; Magnoliopsida; Poales; Poaceae.
CGUCUCUCAAAAUUUGUGUCUCCUUGCUCAAAAGUAAGUUUUGAAGACAAGAGAAAAGAAAAGGAAAGAUAAUAUUGAAAAGAGGCGAAUCCCAUUCCCAUCCCCCACCCAUCUCUCUCCAUGACCAUUACCAGGAGGAGCAGGACGACGCCAUGGAAGGGUCACCAACAACUCCGGUCUUCUCCAUGGACAUGGAGGUCCUCCGCUGCACUCCCUGAUGCAUCAAGCGCGCAGGCAUACAAGGAGGCUCUGCUUCUUCCCAGGUCGCCAUGGAAGAUUAUUCUUCAGGUUGAUACUAAAUUGGCAAUGUUGCUGUUCGGACCCCGCUGCCGCUGCGGACGCCAUGGAGCCCGUCCAGCAGCAUGAUUGAUUCGGUACUGCAUCAUCCCCGGUUAAUGCAGAGGACAAGGGGCUCAUCGUGUGUGUCUCCCUUCGACCAACGAGGCACGACGUUGUUCGGCACUGGCUGCAAAAUAAUCACGAUUAUUCUUCAGGUUGAUACUAACUUGGUAAUGUUGCUGUUCCGAGACCCCGCUGCCGCUGCGGACGCCAUGGAGACCGUCAAGGCGCAGACUGUUGUGUGCCGCCUCUUCCAUGGGCGUCCACGCCAUGGAGCUCCUUAAGAGACCCUCAAUGAUGACAGGUGGAGUGCAGGACAUUGAGGACAUGAUAUGAACCGCCGUUCCAGACGCCCGCCUCAGGGAAGGAGCACUCCAUCCCGCUGAUAACAAUGUUUUGAAAGAGGAGAUGACGGAUUUGGUGGAGGAGAGGAACUCCCUCAAGGACGAAAAGAGGAGCCCUGUGUACAGAAAACUUGUGAUGCUGCUUUGUCAAGUGCUUGUGUGGUGGUUUCGAUUUGACCUAGAAGACCGCCGCUUCGCUCCUCCGGGUCUGCUUAUUCCCGGGUCGCCGCUGCUCCCACGAUGGAGGAAAC